ACUGCAGAUAUAUAUAUCUGUAAAAAAUAUAUGGAAAAAGAUAUAUGGAAAAAAAUGCAGCUUUUUACAUACAUUUUACUAUAGUUCUCCCCUCUGCUUCCAUAUGCCUACAUAUUAGAGCAGAGGGGGUGAAGGCAGGGAAACUGGGUAUGCCGGAUCCCGCCUCCAUUGUGCAAAGCCAGCCAUUUCCAGAUAAGCAAUGCUCCCUAAUAAAACUGGUAUCUCCGGAACCAGACUGCGGACCUGAAAACAGAAUAAUGGGCUUACAUAAUCAUACCUACUGAACGAUAACAAAGCAAGAACAAUAUGUACUCAUGAUAGGAUAUAAAUGAGAGGGGACCGUCCUCGCGCUUGGGAGUGAUCUGCUACGGGCAAAAUAUCUGGAGCCACAAGAGCUUUUUUCUACUAUUCUGCAAGUGGCUGAAUCAAAAGGAACUGCUGUUGAUGUAAUAUCAUGUAAAAGCUUCAUCUAAUAGUGGAGAAGCAAUAGCAAAGGUUCCAGAAGUGGUGUACGAAGGAAUUUUUUUGGGAGCACAUCACUGGAUGGCCAGGAUUUCAGGAGUGUGACAUGAUGAUGAAUGAACACCUCAAUGACUUCAUCAACAAUGCGUCAAUGGAUGAUAUGAAUGGAACCGAAGACAGUCAGUCCUUAACCAAACAAGUCACCU
Molecule: long non-coding RNA, 668 nt
Organism: Hyla sarda
Lineage: Eukaryota; Metazoa; Chordata; Amphibia; Anura; Hylidae
Exons: 4
Source: RefSeq, a predicted model, not a curated record